UGGCGAACGGGUGAGUAACGCGUGAGUAACCUGCCCUGGAGUGGGGGACAACAGUUGGAAACGACUGCUAAUACCGCAUAAGCCCACGGCCCGGCAUCGGGCUGCGGGAAAAGGAUUUAUUCGCUUCAGGAUGGACUCGCGUCCAAUUAGCUAGUUGGUGAGGUAACGGCCCACCAAGGCGACGAUUGGUAGCCGGACUGAGAGGUUGAACGGCCACAUUGGGACUGAGACACGGCCCAGACUCCUACGGGAGGCAGCAGUGGGGGAUAUUGCACAAUGGGGGAAACCCUGAUGCAGCGACGCCGCGUGGAGGAAGAAGGUUUUCGGAUUGUAAACUCCUGUCGUUAGGGACGAUAAUGACGGUACCUAACAAGAAAGCACCGGCUAACUACGUGCCAGCAGCCGCGGUAAAACGUAGGGUGCAAGCGUUGUCCGGAAUUACUGGGUGUAAAGGGAGCGCAGGCGGACCGGCAAGUUGGAAGUGAAAACCAUGGGCUCAACCCAUGAAUUGCUUUCAAAACUGCUGGCCUUGAGUAGUGCAGAGGUAGGUGGAAUUCCCGGUGUAGCGGUGGAAUGCGUAGAUAUCGGGAGGAACACCAGUGGCGAAGGCGACCUACUGGGCACCAACUGACGCUGAGGCUCGAAAGCAUGGGUAGCAAACAGGAUUAGAUACCCUGGUAGUCCAUGCCGUAAACGAUGAUUACUAGGUGUUGGAGGAUUGACCCCUUCAGUGCCGCAGUUAACACAAUAAGUAAUCCACCUGGGGGAGUACGACCGCAAGGUUGAAACUCAAAGGAAUUGACGGGGGGCCCGCACAAGCAGUGGAAGUAUGUGGGUUUAAUUCGAA
This 847-nucleotide ribosomal RNA is filed under the name uncultured bacterium. RNAcentral's name for it is "bacterial SSU rRNA". It matches the Rfam family "Bacterial small subunit ribosomal RNA", at positions 96 to 955 of the family's 1533-position model. The record is from RNAcentral.